CAGUCGAGCGAUGAAGCACCUUCGGGUGUGAAUUAGCGGCGAACGGGUGAGGAACACGUGAGAAAUCUGCCUUCAACACUGGGAUAACUCCGGGAAACCGGGGCUAAUACCGGAUAUGAAACCUGCGGGCAUCCGCGGGUUUGGAAAGUUUUUCGGUUGAAGAUGAUCUCGCGGCCUAUCAGCUUGUUGGUGAGGUAAUGGCUCACCAAGGCGACGACGGGUAGCCGGCCUGAGAGGGCGACCGGCCACACUGGGACUGAGACACGGCCCAGACUCCUACGGGAGGCAGCAGUGGGGAAUAUUGGGCAAUGGAGGAAACUCUGACCCAGCGACGCCGCGUGCGGGAUGAAGGCCUUCGGGUUGUAAACCGCUUUCAGCAGGGAAGAAGCGAAAGUGACGGUACCUGCAGAAGAAGCACCGGCUAACUAUGUGCCAGCAGCCGCGGUAAUACAUAGGGUGCAAGCGUUGUCCGGAAUUAUUGGGCGUAAAGAGCUCGUAGGUGGUUCGUCACGUCGGAUGUGAAACUCUGGGGCUUAACCCCAGACCUGCAUUCGAUACGGGCGAGCUUGAGUAUGGUAGGGGAGUCUGGAAUUCCUGGUGUAGCGGUGGAAUGCGCAGAUAUCAGGAGGAACACCAAUGGCGAAGGCAGGACUCUGGGCCAUUACUGACACUGAGGAGCGAAAGCGUGGGGGAGCGAACAGGAUUAGAUACCCUGGUAGUCCACGCCGUAAACGGUGGGCACUAGUUGUGGGGACCUUCCACGGUCUCUGCGACGCAGCUAACGCAUUAAGUGCCCCGCCUGGGGAGUACGAUCGCAAGAUUAAAACUCAAAGGAAUUGACGG
RNAcentral lists this ribosomal RNA (843 nucleotides) under uncultured bacterium. Its description in RNAcentral is "bacterial SSU rRNA". It matches the Rfam family "Bacterial small subunit ribosomal RNA", at positions 59 to 916 of the family's 1533-position model. The record is from RNAcentral.